RNAcentral lists this ribosomal RNA (1510 nucleotides) under uncultured delta proteobacterium. RNAcentral describes it as "bacterial SSU rRNA". It matches the Rfam family "Bacterial small subunit ribosomal RNA". The record is from RNAcentral. Lineage: Bacteria; Deltaproteobacteria.
UCAGAAUGAACGCUGGCGGCGUGCUUAACACAUGCAAGUUGAACGAGAAAGGUUGUGCUUGCACGAUCGAGUAGAGUGGCGCACGGGUGAGUAACACGUAGAUAAUCUACCUUUGAGACAGGGAUAACUAUUCGAAAGAGUAGCUAAUACCUGAUGAUGUCUGAGUGACUUAGGUUAGACAGAUGAAAGAUGGCUUGGAGACGAGCGAUUGAUUGAAGAUGAGUCUGCGUACCAUUAGUUAGUUGGUGGGGUAAGAGCCUACCAAGGCGAUGAUGGUUAGCUGGUCUGAGAGGAUGAUCAGCCACACUGGAACUGAAACACGGUCCAGACUCCUACGGGAGGCAGCAGUGAGGGAUUUUGCGCAAUGGGGGCAACCCUGACGCAGCAACGCCGCGUGAGUGAAGAAGGCCUUUGGGUUGUAAAGCUCUGUCAAUGGGGAAGAAGUUAUUAUAUUUUAAUAGAGUAUAGUAUUGACGGUACCUAAGAAGGAAGCAUCGGCUAACUCCGUGCCAGCAGCCGCGGUAAUACGGGGGAUGCAAGCGUUAUUCGGAAUUAUUGGGCGUAAAGGGCGCGUAGGCGGUAUUAUAAGCUAGGUGUGAAAGUCCGGGGCUUAACCUUGGAAGAGCAUUUGGAACUGUAGUACUUGAGUACGGUAGAGGGAAGCGGAAUUCCUGGUGUAGAGGUGAAAUUCGUAGAUAUCAGGAGGAACACCGGUGGCGAAGGCGGCUUUCUGGGCCUGUACUGACGCUGAGGCGCGAAGGCGUGGGUAGCGAACAGGAUUAGAUACCCUGGUAGUCCACGCAGUAAACGUUGCACACUUGGUGUUGCGGGUAUUGACCCCUGCAGUGCCGAAGCAAACGCGAUAAGUGUGCCGCCUGGGGAGUACGGUCGCAAGACUAAAACUCAAAGAAAUUGACGGGGGCCCGCACAAGCGGUGGAGCAUGUGGUUUUAUUCGACGCAACGCGCAGAACCUUACCCAGACUUGACAUCUUGAGAAUCCUUAAGAGAUUAGGGAGUGCCUUUUAGGAGCUCAAAGACAGGUGCUGCAUGGCUGUCGUCAGCUCGUGUCGUGAGAUGUUUGGUUAAGUCCAGCAACGAGCGCAACCCUUAUCUUCAGUUGCCAGCGCGUAGAGGUGGGAACUCUGAAGAGACUGCCCCGGUUAACGGGGAGGAAGGUGGGGAUGACGUCAAGUCCUCAUGGCCCUUAUGUCUGGGGCUACACACGUGCUACAAUGGUAUGUACAGAGGGCAGCGAGCUAAAGAUAGUGAGCGAACCCCCCAAAGCAUAUCCCAGUCCGGAUUGAAGUCUGCAACUCGACUUCAUGAAGUUGGAAUCGCUAGUAAUCGCGGAUCAGCAUGCCGCGGUGAAUACGUUCCCGGGCCUUGUACACACCGCCCGUCACACCAUGAGAGUUGAUUGUACCCGAUGUUAUUGGGCUAACGCGUAAGCGGGGCAGGUACCUAAGGUAUGGUUGAUAAUUAGGGUGAAGUCGUAACAAGGUAUCCGUA